GUGGGGAAUCUUGCGCAAUGGGCGAAAGCCUGACGCAGCCAUGCCGCGUGAAUGAUGAAGGUCUUAGGAUUGUAAAAUUCUUUCACCGGGGACGAUAAUGACGGUACCCGGAGAAGAAGCUCCGGCUAACUUCGUGCCAGCAGCCGCGGUAAUACGAAGGGGGCUAGCGUUGCUCGGAAUUACUGGGCGUAAAGGGCGCGUAGGCGGACAGCUUAGUCAGAGGUGAAAGCCCAGGGCUCAACCUUGGAAUUGCCUUUGAUACUGGCUGUCUUGAGUUUGGGAGAGGUGAGUGGAACUCCGAGUGUAGAGGUGAAAUUCGUAGAUAUUCGGAGGAACACCAGUGGCGAAGGCGGCUCACUGGCUCGAUACUGACGCUGAGGUGCGAAAGCGUGGGGAGCAAACAGGAUUAGAAACCCUAGUAGUCC
RNAcentral lists this ribosomal RNA (425 nucleotides) under uncultured bacterium. Its description in RNAcentral is "partial 16S ribosomal RNA". It matches the Rfam family "Bacterial small subunit ribosomal RNA", at positions 354 to 796 of the family's 1533-position model. The record is from RNAcentral.